GAUGAACGCUGACGGCGUGCCUAACACAUGCAAGUCGAGCGGGAAACUUCGGUUUCCAGCGGCGGACGGGUGAGUAACACGUGGGCAACCUGCCUCACAAUGAGAGAUAGCCUUCCGAAAGGGAGAUUAAUACCUCAUAACACAAGAGAAACGCAUGUUUCGUUUGCCAAAGAAUUUCGUUGUGAGAUGGGCCCGCGGCGCAUUAGCUAGUUGGUGAGGUAACGGCUCACCAAGGCUUCGAUGCGUAGCCGACCUGAGAGGGUGAUCGGCCACAUUGGAACUGAGACACGGUCCAGACUCCUACGGGAGGCAGCAGUGGGGAAUAUUGCACAAUGGAGGAAACUCUGAUGCAGCAACGCCGCGUGAGUGAUGAAGGUCUUCGGAUUGUAAAGCUCUGUCUUCUGGGACGAUAAUGACGGUACCAGAGGAGGAAGCCACGGCUAACUACGUGCCAGCCGCCGCCGUAA
RNAcentral lists this ribosomal RNA (467 nucleotides) under uncultured bacterium. RNAcentral's name for it is "partial 16S ribosomal RNA". It matches the Rfam family "Bacterial small subunit ribosomal RNA", at positions 28 to 523 of the family's 1533-position model. The record is from RNAcentral.